GAACCAGUGUAGUGGUUUGAGUAUUAGACUAUGACUCCGGAGGCCAGGGUUCGAUUCCCUGCUUGGCCA
This 69-nucleotide transfer RNA is filed under the name Phrynosoma platyrhinos (Desert horned lizard). RNAcentral's name for it is "tRNA-OTHER". Lineage: Eukaryota; Metazoa; Chordata; Lepidosauria; Squamata; Phrynosomatidae. The record is from RNAcentral.